GCUCGAGUGGCGAACGGGUGAGUAACACGUGAGUAACCUGCCCUUGACUUUGGGAUAACUUCAGGAAACUGGGGCUAAUACCGGAUAGGAGCUCCUGCUGCAUGGUGGGGGUUGGAAAGUUUCGGCGGUUGGGGAUGGACUCGCGGCUUAUCAGCUUGUUGGUGGGGUAAUGGCUUACCAAGGCUUUGACGGGUAGCGGCCUGAGAGGGUGACCGGCCACAUUGGGACUGAGAUACGGCCCAG
RNAcentral lists this ribosomal RNA (243 nucleotides) under uncultured Actinomycetales bacterium. RNAcentral describes it as "partial 16S ribosomal RNA". It matches the Rfam family "Bacterial small subunit ribosomal RNA", at positions 89 to 334 of the family's 1533-position model. Lineage: Bacteria; Bacillati; Actinomycetota; Actinomycetes; Actinomycetales. The record is from RNAcentral.